This 72-nucleotide transfer RNA is filed under the name Ailuropoda melanoleuca (giant panda). It matches the Rfam family "tRNA". Rfam says of the family: Transfer RNA (tRNA) molecules are approximately 80 nucleotides in length. The record is from Rfam by way of RNAcentral. Lineage: Eukaryota; Metazoa; Chordata; Mammalia; Carnivora; Ursidae.
ACCUGGCUGGCCUAGUAGGUAGAGCAUGUGACUCUUGAUCUCGAGGCGUGAGUUCAAGCACCAUGUUAGGUG